RNAcentral lists this ribosomal RNA (738 nucleotides) under uncultured marine bacterium. RNAcentral describes it as "bacterial SSU rRNA". It matches the Rfam family "Bacterial small subunit ribosomal RNA", at positions 57 to 786 of the family's 1533-position model. The record is from RNAcentral.
GCAAGUCGAACGGCAGCAUAGAGAGCUUGCUCUCUGAUGGCGAGUGGCGAACGGGUGAGUAAUAUAUCGGAACGUGCCCAGUAAUGGGGAAUAACUAGCCGAAAGGUUAGCUAAUACCGCAUACGACCUACGGGUGAAAGCAGGGGAUCUUAGGACCUUGCGUUAUUGGAGCGGCCGAUAUCCGAUUAGCUUGUUGGUGGGGUAAAAGCCUACCAAGGCAACGAUCAGUAGCUGGUCUGAGAGGACGAUCAGCCACACUGGAACUGAGACACGGUCCAGACUCCUACGGGAGGCAGCAGUGGGGAAUUUUGGACAAUGGGGGAAACCCUGAUCCAGCCAUCCCGCGUGAGUGAAGAAGGCCUUCGGGUUGUAAAGCUCUUUCGAAAGUGAAGAAAACUUAUUUCGUAAUAUGUUAUAAGUAUGACGGUAACUUUAGAAGAAGCACCGGCUAACUACGUGCCAGCAGCCGCGGUAAUACGUAGGGUGCGAGCGUUAAUCGGAAUUACUGGGCGUAAAGCGUGCGCAGGCGGUUUUGUAAGUCAGAUGUGAAAUCCCCGAGCUUAACUUGGGAACUGCGUUUGAAACUACAAGACUAGAGUGUGUCAGAGGGGGGUAGAAUUCCACGUGUAGCAGUGAAAUGCGUAGAGAUGUGGAGGAAUACCAAUGGCGAAGGCAGCCCCCUGGGAUAACACUGACGCUCAUGCACGAAAGCGUGGGGAGCGAACAGGAUUAGAUACC